GAUGAACGCUGGCGGCGUGCCUAAUACAUGCAAGUCGAGCGAACGGACGAGAAGCUUGCUUUUCUGAUGUUAGAGGCGGACGGGUGAGUAACACGUGGAUAACCUACCUAUAAGACUGGGAUAACUUCGGGAAACCGGAGCUAAUACCGGAUAAUAUUUUGAACCGCAUGGUUCAAAAGUGAAAGACGGUCUUGCUGUCACUUAUAGAUGGAUCCGCGCUGCAUUAGCUAGUUGGUAAGGUAACGGCUUACCAAGGCAACGAUGCAUAGCCGACCUGAGAGGGUGAUCGGCCACACUGGAACUGGGACACGGUCCAGACUCCUACGGGAGGCAGCAGUAGGGAAUCUUCCGCAAUGGGCGAAAGCCUGACGGAGCAACGCCGCGUGAGUGAUGAAGGUCUUCGGAUCGUAAAACUCUGUUAUUAGGGAAGAACAUAUGUGUAAGUAACUGUGCACAUCUUGACGGUACCUAAUCAGAAAGCCACGGCUAACUACGUG
This 497-nucleotide ribosomal RNA is filed under the name uncultured bacterium. RNAcentral describes it as "partial 16S ribosomal RNA". It matches the Rfam family "Bacterial small subunit ribosomal RNA", at positions 28 to 507 of the family's 1533-position model. The record is from RNAcentral.